GGACCCGCACAAGUAGUGGAGCAUGUGGUUUAAUUCGAAGAUACGCGCAGAACCUUACCAACACUUGACAUGUUCGUCGCGACUCUAAGAGAUUAGAGUUUUCGGUUCGGCCGGACGAAACACAGGUGCUGCAUGGCUGUCGUCAGCUCGUGUCGUGAGAUGUUGGGUUAAGUCCCGCAACGAGCGCAACCCUCACUUUUAGUUGCCAUCAUUAAGUUGGGCACUCUGAAAGAACUGCCAGUGAUAAGCUGGAGGAAGGUGGGGAUGACGUCAAGUCCUCAUGGCCCUUACGUGUUGGGCUACACACGUGCUACAAUGGUAUCUACAACAGGAAGCAAAACAGCGAUGUUAAGCAAAUCCUUAAAAGAUACCUCAGUUCGGAUUGCACUCUGCAACUCGAGUGCAUG
This 407-nucleotide ribosomal RNA is filed under the name uncultured bacterium. Its description in RNAcentral is "bacterial SSU rRNA". It matches the Rfam family "Bacterial small subunit ribosomal RNA", at positions 917 to 1322 of the family's 1533-position model. The record is from RNAcentral.